CUCAUUUUUCUCUUGCCGCCACCACGAAAGAAGUGCCUUUUGCCUCCCGUCAUGAUUCUGAGGCCUCCCCAGCCAUGUGGAACUGUUUGAGGCACAGAGCUGUAUAUACAAUAACAGUGAAAUUGAUCCCACUACUAAUUAUGACAAAAAUGAUCUUCCACGUAAACAGGUGGUGAAGCUCCUUAUGGUCCUGACCCUACAGUUCCUGUCCCAUGACCAGGGCCAGAUCACCAAGGAGCUGCAGCAGUUCGUCGUCAGUGGCAGCCCCAUGCGAGCACCCGAGGAAGGGCUGUGACCGUCUAUGACAAGCCAGCAUCUUUCUUUCAAGAGACCUCUGGACCUGCAGCACCAACUCUUCAUGAAGCUGGGCGGCACGCACUCUCCGUUCAGGGCCUGAACCUGAGGACCCAGACACGGAGCGGUCGGCCUUCAUGGAGCGGGAUGCUGGGAGCGGGCUGGUGAUGCGCCUCCGCGAGCGGCCAGCCCUGCUGGUCAGCAGCACAGGCUGGACAGAGGACGAAGACUUCUCCAUCUGCUGGCAGCUUUAGAAAGUAGAGUUUGAACAACUGACUCUUGAUGGACACAACCUUCCUUCUCUCGUCUGUGUGAUAACAGGCAAAGGGCCUCCGAGGGAGUAUUACAGCCGCCUCAUCCACCAGAAGCAUUUCCAGCACAUCCAGGUCUGCACCCCUUGGCUGGAGGCCGAGGACUACCCCCGCUUCUAGGGUCGGUGGAUCUGGGUGUCUGUCUGCACACGUCCUGCAGUGGCCUGGACCUGCCCAUGAAGGUGGUGGACAUGUUCGGGUGCUGUUUGCCUGUGUGUGCCGUGAACUUCAAGUGGCAGGAGCAGAACCCGAAUCUUUCUGGGGAUAGCUUCACAGAUCCACCGCUGAGGAGGAAACAGUGCAGAGCGAGCUGCCCACAGUGAGGCCCUGCUCCUGGUUUACAUGAGCUGGUGAAACAUGAAGAAAAUGGCCUGGUCUUUGAGGACUCAGAGGAACUGGCAGCUCAGCUGCAGGUGCUUUUCUCAAACUUUCCUGAUCCUGCGGGCAAGCUAAACCAGUUCCGGAAGAACCUGCGGGAGUCGCAGCAGCUCCGAUGGGAUUAGAGCUGGGUGCAGACUGUGCUCCCUUUGGUUAUGGACACAUAACUCCUGGGCCAGAGGCUAAAACCCCGGGACCCCUGCUGUCCUUCCCACAGCUUCUUCUCAGAGUCUCAGGGCAAAUCCUUUCGAGCAGCGCCUCCCAGUGGCCAGAAGCUGAAAUGAUGGCAGUAGUGCCACCUGGUGAAUGAAUUGGUUCUGUGACCCGGGAA
This 1314-nucleotide long non-coding RNA is filed under the name Homo sapiens (human). Its description in RNAcentral is "novel transcript". The record is from RNAcentral. Lineage: Eukaryota; Metazoa; Chordata; Mammalia; Primates; Hominidae.